GAUGAAGAACGUAGCGAAAUGCGAUAAGUAAUGUGAAUUGCAGAAUCCAGUGAAUCAUCGAAUCUUUGAACGCACAUUGCGCCCGCCAGCAUUCUGGCGGGCAUGCCUGUUCGAGCGUCAUUUCAACCCUCGACCUCCCUUUGGGGAAGUCGGCGUUGGGGACCGGCAGCACACCGCCGGCCCUGAAAUGGAGUGGCGGCCCGUCCGCGGCGACCUCUGCGUAGUAAUCCAACUCGCACCGGAACCCCGACGCGACCACGCCGUAAAACACCCAACUUCUGAACGUUGACCUCGAAUCAGGUAGGACUACCCGCUGAACUUAAGCAUAUCAAUAAGCGGAGGA
RNAcentral lists this unclassified non-coding RNA (343 nucleotides) under soil metagenome. RNAcentral's name for it is "partial contains 5.8S ribosomal RNA, internal transcribed spacer 2, and large subunit ribosomal RNA". The stretch from base 1 to 120 matches the Rfam family "5.8S ribosomal RNA", at positions 35 to 154 of the family's 154-position model. The record is from RNAcentral.